This 500-nucleotide ribosomal RNA is filed under the name uncultured Myrionecta. RNAcentral describes it as "bacterial SSU rRNA". It matches the Rfam family "Eukaryotic small subunit ribosomal RNA", at positions 1214 to 1799 of the family's 1831-position model. The record is from RNAcentral. Lineage: Eukaryota; Ciliophora; Litostomatea; Cyclotrichida; Mesodiniidae.
CUUACCAGGUCAAGACAUGGGCGUGAUUGACAGGCUAAUGACUUUUCUCGAUUCCAUGGAUGGUGGUGCAUGGUCGCACUUAGUUGGUGCAGUGAUUUGUCAGGUUUAUUCCGGUAACGAACGAGACCUCGGCCUUGUAAAUAGCUAUGCUGCUUACAGGGACAUUGGCGGCUACGCCAAGGAAGCUCGAGGCAAUUGCAGAUCUGGAAUGCCCUUAGAUGUCCUGGGUCGCACGCGUGCUACAAUGACGCCACGAACGAGCUUGCGUGAUGAAAGUUACGCAUAAUCAGCAGUCGGCGUCUUAAGGGAUAGUCUCUUGUAACUGUGGGACUCCAACUAGGAAUGUCUCGUAAGCACAAGUCAACAUCUUGUGUUGAUUACGUCCCUGCUCUUUGUACACACCGCCCGUCGCUCCUACCGAUCGAGUGUUUAGGUGAAUUUGAUGGACGUAAGGAAGUCAAAUAAACCUGAGCACUAGAGGAAGGAGAAGUCGAACAUUC